CCUACGGGUGGCAGCAGUGAGGAAUAUUGGUCAAUGGGCGCGAGCCUGAACCAGCCAAGUAGCGUGAAGGAGGACUGCCCUACGGGUUGUAAACUUCUUUUAUAAAGGAAUAAAGUGAGGCACGUGUGCCUUUGUGUAUGUACGUUAUGAAUAAGGAUCGGCUAACUCCGUGCCAGCAGCCGCGGUAAUACGGAGGAUCCGAGCGUUAUCCGGAUUUAUUGGGUUGAAAGGGAGCGUAGUGGGGUUGUUAAGUCAGUGGUGAAAGUUUGCGGCUCAACCGUAAAAGUGCAUUUGAUACGGGCAGUCUUGAGUUCAGUUGAGGUCGGCGCACUUCGUUGUGUAGCGG
Molecule: ribosomal RNA, 346 nt
Filed under: uncultured bacterium
Lineage: Bacteria
Description: partial 16S ribosomal RNA
Rfam family: Bacterial small subunit ribosomal RNA
Source: RNAcentral